RNAcentral lists this transfer RNA (85 nucleotides) under Pneumocystis sp. 'macacae'. RNAcentral's name for it is "tRNA-Ser". It matches the Rfam family "tRNA". From Rfam's summary of the family: Transfer RNA (tRNA) molecules are approximately 80 nucleotides in length. Their secondary structure includes four short double-helical elements and three loops (D, anti-codon, and T loops). Lineage: Eukaryota; Fungi; Ascomycota; Pneumocystomycetes; Pneumocystales; Pneumocystaceae. The record is from RNAcentral.
GGAUAAGUGGCCGAGUGGUUUAUGGCUUGAUAUUUGAGAUAUCAUACACUUUAUCGUGUCGCGAGUUCGAAUCCCGCCUUAUCCG